UGAUCCUCUGAGACAGCAGUUUGUCCAUCUCCAAGAGCCAAACCACCAAUAUCUUCAACAACAAUCAGCUGCCAUCCACAAUUCCGACUUGCAGCAACAUCACCAGCAGCAAAUCCCACGUCAUCUUCUGCAGGCUCAGACGCAGAUUCUGAGUGAGAAUCUUCCUCAGCAGAAUAUGCGACGAGAAGUUAGUAACCAAGUAGCUGUGCAGGCACAGCAACCGGACCGUGUGUGGCAGCAUUCUGAUUUGAUUUCACCUUCAGAUUUUACCAACAACAAAUUUCACAUCAGCAGCUAAUCCAGUACAGCAAACAAAACUUGAGCCUUCAAGGCUCUGGAGGAGAUAGUAGUAGCAACCUGUUGAAUUUCUCUAUAACUGGUCACUCUGAGCAAUUUACCACCGACACAGGAUUGGUCUCUAAAACACUCUCACUAUCCUGAAACCAACUUUUUUCUGAGCCACUGUCGCUUGGACAAGCCUACGGUAGAGCAAGUCCAUCUCUGGAACCUCCUCCAAGUACCCAAAACCUCUCUCUUUUUGGUGGUGAUUCGGACUCUGGUCUUUUCCUCCCAACCACGGUUCCUCGUUUUGGUAAUUUUUCAGCAGAUGCUGCUGCUGAUACCUCCUCAAUGCCACUGACAGAUUCUGGAUUUCAGAACACUACUUUGCAAGGAACUACCGAGUUAGCAGCACAUGGGGUUGUUGAACACAAAGAGAACUUUGUUAAGGUUUAUAAAUCAGGUUCGGUGGGGAGGUCACUGGACAUAUCAAGGUUCAGCAGCUAUCAAGAGCUGAUAGAAGAGUUGGGUAAAAUGUUUGACAUCAAAGGGUUGUUGGAAGACGCCUUUAGAUCAGGCUGGCAGCUUGUAUUCGUGGACAAGGAGGAUUGAUAUCUUCUUCUCGGCGAUGAUCCUUGGGAAUCAUUUGUGAACAGCGUUUGGUACAUAAAGAUACUGUCGCCGGAUGAUGUGCACAAAAUGGGUGGUGAACAUGGGGAGGAUCCUCCUUCCACAGAACCUGACCCAUUUCUGAUUGAUCUCGUCUCAUUUGGGGGCAUCAUCACCUGUUUCCCUUGUGUUAUCUGUUUGAAUAUUCUGUAUGAACGUAUCAUUUCGCAAGUUGAGUCUUAGAAACUUAAAAGACACUCGUCUGGAACUGUCAUAAAACAUAUGUUUCUCUGGUAGCAACGUUAACUCGUCUUGCUGUAACAAUUAGACUCUUCUUUGUUAUCGUAAUGCCCCCGUGUUAGUCUU
Molecule: long non-coding RNA, 1254 nt
Organism: Raphanus sativus (radish)
Lineage: Eukaryota; Viridiplantae; Streptophyta; Magnoliopsida; Brassicales; Brassicaceae
Exons: 3
Source: RefSeq, a predicted model, not a curated record